This 148-nucleotide unclassified non-coding RNA is filed under the name soil metagenome. RNAcentral's name for it is "partial internal transcribed spacer 1". The record is from RNAcentral.
CCGAGUUUACAACUCCCAAACCCCUUGUGAACAUACCACUUGUUGCCUCGGCGGAUCAGCCCGCUCCCGGUAAAACGGGACGGCCCGCCAGAGGACCCCUAAACUCUGUUUCUAUAUGUAACUUCUGAGUAAAACCAUAAAUAAAUCA